Molecule: long non-coding RNA, 3556 nt
Organism: Phocoena sinus (vaquita)
Lineage: Eukaryota; Metazoa; Chordata; Mammalia; Artiodactyla; Phocoenidae
Source: Ensembl
CUCGCUGCAGGAGAACAUCCGUCCGUGAGCGGGUGCUGGUUGGACGGCGGCCACGUGGACUCGAGCGUUGCACUGGGGCCGCAUCUCUAGGGCAGGACGGGGAAGGAGAGCGAGGUGCCGGGGGCUAUCUCCGCACCUUGUCCGGGCCGUGACGCCCCCAGCCCCGGCUCCUUCACUGUGACACUGUGUCCCCGUCCGUGGGACAGGCGACUUCGCGCCUCGUGUUUGCCAGGCCCUGCCGGGACCUCACGGUUUCCCGGGUCUUCUCACGCGCUCCGUUGACAGGGCCCCCGAAGGCGGCGGCCUGGGCCUUUCUAGCGUUUGACAUUUCAUAGCGAGAUUCGGAGUGUGACACGCAGCCCGAGGUGACUCCGCCCUGGUCUCCCGCCUCUCAGGGCCCCAUUCAGCCCACUGGGUCCCUUGGCGGUGGCAGGUGCAGCAGCACUGAUGAAUCCAGCGCAGGGCUGUGUGACCUUCGAGGAUGUGUUCGUGUACUUCUCCCGGGAGGAGUGGGAGCUCCUUGAGGAAGCUCAGAGACUCUUGUACCGUGAUGUGAUGCUGGAGAACUUUGCACUUGUGUCAUCACUGGGACUUGCGGUUUCCAGGUCUCAUGGAGCCACCCAGCUGGAGCCAGAGGGGAGCCCAGGGUGCCUGAGAAGGUAGACGUGGCUCCAGUCACAGCAGAGAAGACCUGGAGGAGGCCUAGCCCUGGUGAGCGGAAGGUUGUUAGCAUGGAGUGGAGGAUGUGGCUGCACCUUCUGAGCAGGGAGUUUCUGUGAGAGUGUCACACAUGAGAACUCCCAAGGCAGAUCCUUCCACCCGAAAGGCUCACCCCUGUGACAUGUGUGGCCCAGUCUUGAAAGACAUUUUUGCACCUGGCUGAGCCACAGGGAACACCAUCUGGGCAGCACUCAUACUCCCAACAUGUGAAUCAUGGAGGAGAGACUUUUGGUAUAGUUUAAACCUUGACUGGAUGCAGAAGCAGUGGAGUGGAGUCUUCAGAAGGGAAAAUCCAGGCCUCGUUUGUGAAGUGCUGCAGAUCCAGUGUAUCAGAGAAGGCCUUCACUUGCAGGGAGGGUUGGAAGAACUUCUUGGCCAGCACCUGGCCCCUCACAAUGGGGAGAAGCCACACCGGAGUGUUGGGAGCUUAUUCUCUGCUGUCCUCACUAAUAGGCCCUUUUGGGUAUUGGAUUCCCAUUAGGCCAGAAGGCACAACCUCAGGCCAUAAAGCUUCUUAGCUGCCCUCAUGGAGGGAAUGUUGCUCCAGGGUCAUUUGAUUCUUUAACUCUCUGUUGGGGGCAAACCAGGAAACAGUGAGGGCCAUUAGAACUGCAGGAAGAACCCAGGGACAGUUUCCCACAAGGAGAGUUUUCUCCGGAGGAUGAGCUCUGAACACAAUGGUGUGAGGACAGAUGAUAAUCUCCACUCAGGAGUUUUACUAGAGCAAUCCUCCAGGAGAUGCUUUUCAUGAACAGAACUCAACAUGGACCAGGUAAAGCUUCCAUGAUCUACGCAGGGAAGAAUCUCUGCAAGUGGAAGAAAUGUGGGAAAGGGUUUAACAAACGUUGACGUGCCUUUCUCAAGAGGGCAGACCUCGGUCAACUCAUGAGGAUUUAUGCUUAGCAGAACCAUGUGACUGCUUCCACUGUGGGAAGGCCUUCAACUGCAGGUCAGAGCUCAUGCAGCUACAACAGAUUCACACUGAGGAGAAGCCUUAUGAAUGCAAAGAAUGUGGGAAAGUCUCUUGUGUCAGGUCUGUUUUUGUCCCAAAUAAUAUUUCCCACUCCAGGAAAAGUCACUUUGAAUGCAAAGUAUGCGGGUAAACCUUUUUUGACAGCUGUUUUUUUCACUCAUCAUGUGAGGGUUCUCACAGGAGAGGAUCCCUGAGUGCAAUGAAUGUGGAAAGGCCUUCAUUCACCCUUUUCUAUCUGGCCUAAUAGGAUCCACAAUGGACAGAAACCCUUUGAGUGUAAGAAUAUCAGAGAGCCUUUCUCAACAGCUCUUCCCUGACUCAACACAUGAAGCAUCACACUGAGGAGAAACCCCAUGAAUACAGUGAAUGUGGACAGUCCUUCAGCCUUCGUUCAUCCUUCACCAAGCCUCGAAGUAUUCAUUCUGGGGAGAAACCACAUGAGCGUAAGAGAUGGGGGAAAGCCUUUCACAAGUGGACUUAUUGUGAUACCAGAGAACUCAUACUGGGGAAAGACCUUUCGAAUGUAACUCCUAAGGAAAAUCAUCUGACCAGAGGAAACGUCUUACUCUGAGAAAUUAUACCAAAGAGAAACCAUGUAAGUGUCAUUGCUGUGAGAAAAUCUUCUAAGGCCAAUCAUCACUUAUUGUCAUCUAAAGAGUCAUACUGGAAAUGGACCCAUCCUAGGACUUUGCACCUGAGAAUUUAUAAAGGAGAGAGAACCAGUGACUAUUGUGCAAUUUCAAAAAUCUUCAGCUAUAGCUCUACCCUUAGUAUACACUGAAAAAGCAAUCACAGGAAUAUUUAAAAGACAAAAACAAGGGAGGAAGAAGAAAAGAAGUAGAUGUAACAGGAAAAGAAAUAUAUUUAUGACUUCUUUCCAGUUUUCCUGACAAACUUGUGACAAUUUAUUGGUUGUUUUUUAUUGUUAUUGGGUGGCAGGGGAGGAGCAGUGUUUGAGAGGUAAACACCUGAAUUACUACAUAUGCACUGUCUGCCAUGCCAUGCCAGGAGAGCGGGAGAGCUGGACACUUGAGAACAGCCCUGCAAAUAUUUAUUUAUUACAAAAUAUUGUCUUAUGUGAAGCCUUGAAUUAUGAAGCAUUUAAAACUUAAAAGAAAUUAGGAUACUAAGAAUGUUGUUUAAAAUUAGAUCUAAGGAGAUAAGGACACACUUAUGAAUGGGUACAUUUUAGUGUACCGCUUAAAACCAUUUAAGGCUUCAUUUUCAUUUUUUAAUUUAUUCAUUAAUUAUUGAGAUAUAAUUGACAUAACGGUGUGUAAGUUUAAGAAUGUACAACAUAUUUAAUUCGAUACAUUUAUAUUGCAGUAUGAGUGCCAUUGUAGCCUUAGCCUCUGUUGUGCCACAGAAGUAUCAUUUCUUCUAGUGGUGGGAACAAAUAAGAUCUUGUCUCUUGGCAAGUUUAAUGUUUAUAAUGCUGUUUUGUUGUCUGUAAUCCCUGUACUUUAUAUUACAUCUCCAAGAAUUAUUAGUUGUAAGUAGGUACCCUUAAACAUCAUCACCUCUCCCAUCCCCUCACCCACCUCCAGCCUUUGGUAAAUGUCAUUCUACUGUUUUCCAGCUCAGUUUUUGGUUUUGUUUUGUUUUUUUAGAUUCCACAUAUAAGGGAUAUUGUAUGGUAUUUGUCUUUCUCUGUCUGACAUAUCUCACUUAGCAUAACAUCCUCAAGGUCCAUCUGUGUUGUCGAAAAUGGCAGAAUUUCCUUUUUUCUCAAGGCUGAGUAGUAGUAUUCCAUUGUAGGUAUAUAUACAUUUUUAUCCAUUCAUCCACUGAUGGACACUUAGGUUGUUUCCAUAUCCUGGCGAUUGUGAACUACAAUAAACAUGGAAGUGCAUAUAUCUCUUU